RNAcentral lists this ribosomal RNA (468 nucleotides) under uncultured bacterium. RNAcentral's name for it is "partial 16S ribosomal RNA". It matches the Rfam family "Bacterial small subunit ribosomal RNA", at positions 28 to 507 of the family's 1533-position model. The record is from RNAcentral.
GACGAACGCUGGCGGCGUGCUUAACACAUGCAAGUCGAACGGAAAGGCCCUGCUUUUGUGGGGUGCUCGAGUGGCGAACGGGUGAGUAACACGUGAGUAACCUGCCCUUGACUUUGGGAUAACUUCAGGAAACUGGGGCUAAUACCGGAUAGGAGCUCCUGCUGCAUGGUGGGGGUUGGAAAGUUUCGGCGGUUGGGGAUGGACUCGCGGCUUAUCAGCUUGUUGGUGGGGUAGUGGCUUACCAAGGCUUUGACGGGUAGCCGGCCUGAGAGGGUGACCGGCCACAUUGGGACUGAGAUACGGACCAGACUCCUACGGGAGGCAGCAGUGGGGAAUAUUGCACAAUGGGCGGAAGCCUGAUGCAGCAACGCCGCGUGCGGGAUGACGGCCUUCGGGUUGUAAACCGCUUUCGCCUGUGACGAAGCGUGAGUGACGGUAAUGGAUAAAGAAGCACCGGCUAACUACGUG